RNAcentral lists this ribosomal RNA (575 nucleotides) under uncultured bacterium. Its description in RNAcentral is "partial 16S ribosomal RNA". It matches the Rfam family "Bacterial small subunit ribosomal RNA", at positions 355 to 920 of the family's 1533-position model. The record is from RNAcentral.
UGGGGAAUAUUGCACAAUGGGCGCAAGCCUGAUGCAGCCAUGCCGCGUGUGUGAAGAAGGCCUUCGGGUUGUAAAGCACUUUCAGCGAGGAGGAAGGUGGUGAGCUUAAUACGCUCAUCAAUUGACGUUACUCGCAGAAGAAGCACCGGCUAACUCCGUGCCAGCAGCCGCGGUAAUACGGAGGGUGCAAGCGUUAAUCGGAAUUACUGGGCGUAAAGCGCACGCAGGCGGUUUGUUAAGUCAGAUGUGAAAUCCCCGGGCUCAACCUGGGAACUGCAUUUGAAACUGGCAAGCUAGAGUCUCGUAGAGGGGGGUAGAAUUCCAGGUGUAGCGGUGAAAUGCGUAGAGAUCUGGAGGAAUACCGGUGGCGAAGGCGGCCCCCUGGACGAAGACUGACCGCUCAGGUGCGAAAGCGUGGGGAGCAAACAGGAUUAGGAUACCCUGGUAGUCCACGCUGUAAACGAUGUCGAUUUUGGAGGUUGUGCCCUUGAGGCGUGGCUUCCGGAGCUAACGCGUUAAAUCGACCGCCUGGGGAGUACGGCCGCAAGGUUAAAACUUAAGGAAUUGACGGGGUC